CGGGAUAGCUCAGCUGGUAGAGCAGAGGACUG
Molecule: transfer RNA, 32 nt
Filed under: Rhizophora mangle (American mangrove)
Lineage: Eukaryota; Viridiplantae; Streptophyta; Magnoliopsida; Malpighiales; Rhizophoraceae
Also listed under: 3 other names
Description: partial tRNA-Phe
Source: RNAcentral